This 88-nucleotide transfer RNA is filed under the name Candidatus Effluviviaceae Genus V sp. RNAcentral's name for it is "tRNA-Leu". It matches the Rfam family "tRNA". Rfam says of the family: Transfer RNA (tRNA) molecules are approximately 80 nucleotides in length. Their secondary structure includes four short double-helical elements and three loops (D, anti-codon, and T loops). Lineage: Bacteria; Candidatus Effluviviacota; Candidatus Effluviviaceae. The record is from RNAcentral.
GCCGAAGUGGUGGAAUUGGUAGACGCGCUGCGUUCAGGGCGCAGUAGGGUUUAACCCUGUGGGGGUUCGAGUCCCCCCUUCGGCACCA